This 254-nucleotide ribosomal RNA is filed under the name uncultured bacterium. Its description in RNAcentral is "partial 16S ribosomal RNA". It matches the Rfam family "Bacterial small subunit ribosomal RNA", at positions 524 to 776 of the family's 1533-position model. The record is from RNAcentral.
UACGGGGGGAGCAAGCGUUGUUCGGAUUUACUGGGCGUAAAGGGCGCGUAGGCGGCCACCGCAAGUCGGUUGUGAAAUCUCUGGGCUUAACCCAGAAAGGUCAACCGAUACUGCGGGGCUAGAGUGCAGAAGGGGCAACUGGAAUUCUCGGUGUAGCGGUGAAAUGCGUAGAUAUCUGGAGGAACACCGGUGGCGAAAGCGGCUCACUGGACCGUCUCUGACGCUGAGGUGCGAAAGCUAGGGUAGCAAACGGG